GGAGCUGCUACGGCUUUCCCAGACGGUCUCACUGCACACCUGCGGAAUUCAAAAGCAAACUCUGCCAGCUGGAGUAGGAUAUUUAAGGAACCAGUUAUGAAGAGGAGAGAAGACAACACCAAGGAUUUACAGUGCUAAGGAAAAAUCAUGAACACAACAAAUGACGACUCAGCCAACCCCACCACCUGGCAAGACACUGAAGGUGAUUUUCCCAACUGCACUGAUGUGGAAGUUGGUCUGAAGACUUUGUACCUCCCCAUUAUGUAUAGCAUCAUCUUCCUGGUGGGAUUUCCGGGAAACGUCAUCGCGAUUUGUGUUUACAGCUUCAAGAUGAGGCCUUGGAAGAGCAGCACCAUAAUCAUGCUGAACCUGGCUCUCACAGACCUGCUCUACCUCACCAGCCUUCCCUUCCUGAUACACUACUAUGCCAGCGGGGAGCACUGGAUAUUUGGUGAAUUCAUGUGCAAGUUCAUCCGCUUCGGCUUCCACUUCAACUUGUACAGCAGCAUCCUCUUCCUCACCUGCUUCAGUGCCUUCCGCUAUGUAGUGAUUGUCCACCCUAUGAAGUUCUUCCACAUCCAGAGGAAGCGGUGGACAGUGGUAGUUUGCACAGCCAUUUGGGUGAUCUCACUGGCAGCUGUCAGCCCCGUCCACUUCUUGAUCUCCUUAAAAGAGGCACAAAACAGAUCUUUAUGCCUCGACCUUACCAGCUCUGAAAACCUGGGCACAAUCAGGUGGUAUAACUGGCUGCUGACGAUGUUUGCCUUCUUCUUGCCCUUGCUGACGGUGACUCUGUGCUACGUGCUCAUUAUUUACACCUUGGCUACCGGGCCCCACACGCGGGCUUGCUACAAACAAAAGGCUCGCAGACUCGCUGUCGUCCUCUUGGUGGUCUUCUAUGUGUGCUUCCUCCCCUUUCACGUCUUUCGGGCGGCUCGGGUUGAACUACGGUUGUGUCCAGCCAACUGUCAGCUCGAGAAACAAAUCCACUCCAUCUAUAUCAUCUUUCGGCCACUGGCUGCGCUCAACACAUGUGGAAACCUGCUACUUUAUGUCGUGAUUGGAGGUAACUUCCAGCAGGCUGUCCUCUCUCUUUCAAGGUGUAAGUGCAGCAAAUAUAUCCAGCAGCCCAGGAGCAACAAUUAAGUGGCCAAGUCAGAAAUCGCAUUAAAGUUAUGCAGGAAUCCCUUGAAGAAAAUCCCAGCAAACCCAGGACAGCUUUGCUGCUGUAAGCUCCUGCCAAGGCAGGUGUGGUGAUAUGGCAGCAAGAAUUGCAGCUGGCGUCACCCUCUCCCUGCAGUAGAGCACUUGUCAAAAAGCUGUCUCGGGAGCAGGUUUAUAUAUACCUUUCUUAGCAACCAAAGAAAGAGGAGUGAAAAGAAAAGAUUGUAAGCCACCUCAAAGGUGAAAUUUAAAACCACCCAACCAGACUGUUUCCAAAGACAUUUGGGAAAUGCAGGGUUCUCUUGCUCCGGGGCUUUGUGGUUGAUUACAGAAACAUGGAAAGCUUAGUCUGGACAUGAGAACAACUUCCAUUGAUUUCAGUGUUGUCACUGAUGUAGUGCUUUGUUUAUUACAGCCCGAGCGAAACCGAGUAGAUAUUGUCACGGAUACUGAAGCCACUGAAUUACAUACUUAGAAAGCACCUAGAUAAAUCAGAUGUUUUCAAAUUACAUGGACCUGAUGAACUUCAGCAUAGGGCACUGAGGAACUGGAUGGUGAAAUCUCAGAACUGGCCUAGGAGAGGAUGAGAGGAGUACCAGAGGAGGACAUACAUGGUGAAUUUAAGGAGAUACAGAUAUAUAGAUAUAUAAAAGGAGAUAGAUAUCUAUAUACAUGGGAAAAAUGGAGGAACAAGGAAUUAACAGUCGUGUUAACCUCAGAAAAAUACCGAAACAGACAAUCAGAUGGGAAGUCUACAGAGGAUGAAUACAGGUGACAUGAAGCUGAGAGGACAAAAUUAAGUUGACAAAUUGCAACUACGGGCUGAAAAAACACAGGAUGCAAUUAGGCAGUGACAGAUGCAAAGUUCUGUGUUUAAGUAGAAAUAAUGAACUGUGCAAACACAAAAGGAGAAAAAAACCCCACCUGUUUAGGUAGCAGUUUGGCAGAGAAAGAUCUGUCGUUACUGUGAAUCACAGGCUGGACAGGAGCCGACAGUUUCAGUGGGCUGACAGUGUCUGCUGUGGCAAAAAGGGCAGAUGCAAUGUUGUGAUGUAUAAAAAAGAAUAUGAUGUGCGAGAUGUGUGUAGCAGCCCUUACACCCUUUGCAGCACUGUUCCCCUCCCAGCUGGAACAUCAUGCCCAGCCUUCGAGGCUGACCUUCAGGGGAGACACAGAUGAGAGGAGCAUGGCAAGACCACUCAGUGGAAUGUCCCGAGGGGAAGGAACCGUACAGGAAACCAAAUGGUAUUCAAAUCCCUCAAGGGCAGAUACCAGGAAAGACUUUAUCUCAACGACUGGUGAUGAAGCCCUGGUGAGGACAAGAGAAGCCCCCACAGCCACGUGUCUCUAGGAGCAGGCUAGCCAGACACUGAGCAAGAGGGACACAAGCCUGCCUGCCUUCUGGAGGUCCCUUUUGGCCACAAGGCUUUGCAAUUAGGCAUACACUGCAGAUAGCUUUGGUGCCAGCAAAACAAGCAGUGCCCAGGAGCAUCACCAGCACCAGAGCUUGUCCCACCACGCUGCCAUGGGUCUCCUUGGGCUGGCAGCUGGCCGGAAGUGACCAGCAAAGCCCAGGCACCUGCACUAGCACUGGCACACAGGAGCCUAAGUAGGACAAACCAUGACACCGUAGUGUUUAACAUGCCUUGUGGAUAUCUAAAAUACUUUAUUUGGUAAAGGCUCAACCACCAGAUAUAUCUUUCAGAAGCAGUGCUAUAGGCCUUUUGACAUGUUUUCUAUUUUAGAUUGUCCUCUUCUGUAUCAUUGUUGAAGUCUGAAUUUUACAGGUUGCCACUAGAUGGUGAUCAAUCAUGGUCAAGCUACCUGGUUUCACGUACACAUGGUUGAUUCAAAUCCACAUUUACACAAAUACAGAAGAUGAUUCACAUGAAAUAAAUCUUUUCUGACAUAGAUUCAUAACAUCCCAGCUCUCCAACAUGGCCAAACAUGCACUGCACAAACUCUCUUCCUUUUCCACCUAAGUGAAAGCACAAGAUGUGUCUACCACUUACACAUACACAUCUGGAGCGGAUUAAAAAUUAUCUUUUUUUCCUCUCUCAGAGCAUUUUUAAUUCUUGUUCGCAGAAGCUCUUCCUUCUCAAGCCCAAGCUGAGCUUAUCACAUACAAGCAGAAGCUCUUCAGUACAACUACACAUACAAUAUAAAAUGGAGCAGCUAAAGGUAAAACGUGUGAAAUGGAAGUGUUCAAGGCUUUCCGUCUCUAACGGCAAGAGUGACAGUCCCACGAUUUCAGAGACUUGGAGAGGGGCUACCUUUUUACAUCCUCCUCCUCUCUUCCUAUCUCACCUGCUCAUCCACCACCUCUCUUCAUUCAGUUUGGGGUGAAAUAGCUGAUUUUUAAGUGCCAGACUAGAUUAGGGAAUGAUCCUGGGAGCUGUAGUUUGCCGGUGGGGCAAGAACCUCCAGGAGAAGGGCAGUCACAUCUUCCAGCAGCAUGGCUGGCUCUGGAAAAGGAGAAAAGCUCAAGCUCAGUGAAGGCUUUUUUAAAGCAUUCAAGGACUGCUCAGGUGCUCUGUAGGACUGAGAGAUCAUUAUCUCAUGUGACUCAUUCCUUUUGCGUACUGUGAAGGGUGACAUCUCGAUAGCUUCUAUUUUUAGCAGCUGUUAAGUUUACUGCUGAAACAAAGAUAAGUGCUUCGAUUGCAGUAAACAGGAGACACUUUCCAAGCUCUGUACACAGUGUGACAACACAGCUACAUAAAUUACUACACUAUUGCAGGCUAAUUCACAGCAUAGUUAUGCUCCAGUAACCAGGCUUCUGUCAAAAGUCUCUGGUAGGUUUGUCUGCAAAGACAGUCCUGUCGACUCAAGCACGCUGCUCUCUGCCUGGGACCGCAGAGGGACCAAGAGAAUAGCUUUGCAAGGCACGAGCUAGUUGGCUGCAUCCUAGAGCACUUUCAAGCCAAUUCCUCUGCAUCUGGGAGAAUCCAUAUUUUGUCGGUGGAUCUGUGAUAAGAUAUUUUGGUAUUACCGCAAGAGCACCCAGUGACAUUCUCACAUCACUCCUCCAGUUUUCAAGGACUUCCAUGGUGCCAGCCACUGUGCAAAGCGAUGCCCUGGACCUGCAGCUGACAGGGCUAGAAAACACCUUCUCUGGGGGUGCCUCAAAGGGCAUUCAAGGUAAAGCCUCCUGCUCUGCUCUUGUUACAGACCUGUUAAGCUGGGCAAAAAAGGAGGUGAUGUGGCACAAAGAAGGGAAGCAUUAUGGGUGGAUUUAUUUCCUAGCCCGAAAUGAUCCCACAGGGGCAAUUUUCCACUGAGUGAGGCAGGCUGGCCCAAUCACUUUCGGCCUCAGCAAUAAUGAAGAAGGCCUAGCAGACAGUGGCAUACAAAUCCACUGUGCAACAAUUUCAAGCAAUAAACCUUUUUGAAAAUUCCUUUUUUCCCUUUGCUUCAUCAUGCUUUUUAUCAACGGGAAGUUAUCUUAACAGACAAGGCAGCAGCACCUGCCUACAGGAGUUUCCUCACAUUUACCUUUCUGCUAGUAAGUUGCUCUGAGAUAU
RNA transcript from Chroicocephalus ridibundus (black-headed gull), 4688 nucleotides. It is a transcript of the gene named 2-oxoglutarate receptor 1-like, with no coding region annotated. The record is from RefSeq and is a predicted model, not a curated record. The transcript is spliced from 4 exons. NCBI's taxonomy places the organism in Eukaryota, Metazoa, Chordata, Aves, Charadriiformes, Laridae.